This 468-nucleotide ribosomal RNA is filed under the name uncultured bacterium. RNAcentral describes it as "partial 16S ribosomal RNA". It matches the Rfam family "Bacterial small subunit ribosomal RNA", at positions 28 to 507 of the family's 1533-position model. The record is from RNAcentral.
GACGAACGCUGGCGGCGUGCUUAACACGUGCAAGUCGAACGGAAAGGCCCUGCUUUUGUGGGGUGCUCGAGUGGCGAACGGGUGAGUAACACGUGAGUAACCUGCCCUUGACUUUGGGAUAACUUCAGGGAACUGGGGCUCAUACCGGAUAGGAGCUCCUGCUGCAUGGUGGGGGUUGGAAAGUUUCGGCGGUUGUGGAUGGACUCGCGGCUUAUCAGCUUGUUGGGGGGGUAGGGGAUGACCAAGGCUUUGACGGGUAGCCGGCCUGAGAGGGUGACCGGGCACAUUGGGACUGAGAUACGGCCCAGACGCCUACGGGAGGCAGCAGUGGGAGAUAUUGCACAAUGGGCGGAAGCCUGAUGCAGCAACGCCGCGUGCGUGAUGACGUCCUUCGGGUUGUAAACCGCUUUCGCCUGUGACGAAGCGGGAGUGACGGUAAUGGGUAAAGAAGCACCGGCUAACUACGUG